This is a long non-coding RNA of Leptinotarsa decemlineata (Colorado potato beetle), 458 nucleotides long. Lineage: Eukaryota; Metazoa; Arthropoda; Insecta; Coleoptera; Chrysomelidae. The record is from RefSeq and is a predicted model, not a curated record.
CAUUAUUUCAGGAUAUCCACCAAGAAGCAACCAAACAGAAAACUUGGUUGAGGUUAAUUCCAGAGGAAAAAUAUUCAAGAAUCCUUCAUUCUACAAGAGACUAUCAAUAUUCCUAUUAUUAUUAGCCUUAAUAUUCCUUAUCGGAUUAAUAGUUUUAGCCAUUUUAUAUACGAAUUCAAAACCAAAAAUCUGCAUAUCUAACGAAUGUUUGAAAACUGCAACGAAUUUGAAAUUUUCUUUGGAUCCCACUGUGGAUCCUUGUGAUAAUUUUUAUGAGUACACUUGUGGAAAAUGGUCAGAAGAGCACCCCAAUCAUGGCUGGUUCAGUUCCUUUUCUAGUUUCACUACAAUAAGUGAGAGGAUAGCGAUCUCUUCAUUGGAAGCAUUGACUACAGAAAACUCUGGACCAGAUGAUCCAGAAGCAUUGCAAAAAAGCAGAAAUUUUUACAAGUCAUGUA